UCCCUGCCUCCAUAUAAACCGCUCACUCACCCACACUCCCUGUCGGUUAUUGCACGUUCAUGUGUGUUCCUGUGCGUUUGUGGUGUUAUGGUUUCGUGUAUGCUUAUCCCCGCUACGUACCGUUCGACUCGGACUCUCUCCCUAUCUCUCUCCCUUCGCUUCGUUAUCCGGAUUAUCCCUGCGAGCGCAGGUAUUUGUUUUGGCUCUGCCU
Silurus meridionalis is the source of this 211-nucleotide long non-coding RNA. RefSeq lists it as uncharacterized. NCBI's taxonomy places the organism in Eukaryota, Metazoa, Chordata, Actinopteri, Siluriformes, Siluridae. The transcript has 3 exons. The record is from RefSeq and is a predicted model, not a curated record.